GCGGCCACCCGAGCCCGGCGAGACCGCCGGGGGCUGCGGCGGAGCGCAGAUUUCACUUCCCGGGGGCCCGGCGGGAAAGGGGAGGGAACUCGGCCAGAUCAAGGCGGUGCAGCCCAUUUUAGAGAUGGGGCAAGUGAGGCCCGGGAGGAUCCCGUGUAGUAAACUACCUGAGGAAGCAGAGAAGAGGGAGUCCAUGCUCCCAGACAGGGCGGACAAGGAGCCCUAAGCAUUUUGCUCCAGUUAAUGGAAACAGUAAUUAAAAACAAACAGCCUUACUUCAGGCAUCAGGGUCAUUGGCGUCGCUUGGAAGCUAACAUGCGAAAGGAUCCCCGGCUCUCCUGCAGGGGUGCUGGGUCCGCUGAUUAUGAACCAGGCAGCUCGCCAAGAGCAGUCCUAGGCUGUUCUCCCUGCACCCCCCUUCCUUUGUUUUACCUUCCUGGGACACACAAAUGGGGUGGAUGGAGAGAGAUCUUUUCUCUGAUGCUGAAGAAAGAAGGAGGCUCCUACCACCUGUGGGGAUGUCAAAAGCGUAGCUUAGACCCGCUGACCUUGUGGUCUCUGCCUCUUGCCUCUCACAAGUUUAGCACCCGGUCAGCCUUAAAAAGCCAACCCUGGUGAAGUGGUGUACCCACAACAUUACUAACAAUAAUGUACAACUGAAAUCUCACAAGGUUGUAAUCUAUCAUAAUCUUAAUAAAAAAAAAAAAAGCCAACCCUGGGAGAAAAGAAAGGUACAAGGCUGGUAGGCCCUAUCUUUCUUCCAGUUGACCUUAGAGCCAUCCGUGACCCCAGAGGUUUCUGCUGAUCUUCAGAGUGUCCCUCUGGCUUUCUGUGUCUCCCUUCCGCUCUGUGUUCUCAUCUAAAAAAUCUAGGUCAUUAUUAGAGAAAUUAAAGGAAACAUGGAUUAGACAAAAAUGAGAAAUGACCACUUUCAGGGUCAUGGAAAAAUAUUUGUGAAUUAAAGGUUGCCCAAGAAUAAGCAAGUAUUUAUUAAAUGUAUUCUACGUGGUCAACACCAAACUAGAUGUCAUGCGGAUAAAUAAGUACCAGAUGUUCUGCUAUAAUGUCAUAUACGUCUUCCUGGAGAAUCUCCUGUUCUGCAAAAUUGCACACUCAAAAUUAAUAGGGCUUCUGGGGUGACCGUGGAUAGGGAAAAUCACUGAAAUCCAACGGAACUUUGGAAUCAGAGCACUAAUGAAAACGAUAACCAUCCUACUAAAAACACUCACGAGGUUCCAUUUCCACAAGCUUUUGCACCCAGGCUCACAGCCAUCAGUGCUUUGUGACCUUCACGCUUCCUCUUUCCCUAUGUGGAUCCUCAAGGGCAUUCACUUUUAAUAGAGGCCAUUUUCAUUAGAAUUAAAAAUCGAAUAGAGGAAUACCGAGCUUUUUGAAAACAUGCAGUACAAGGUCUUCACAGCUUCGUUAUCAGUACUCACAGCUUGACCAGAUAGUUUGAUGUCAUGGGA
Long non-coding RNA from Equus quagga, 1469 nucleotides. RefSeq lists it as uncharacterized. The transcript is spliced from 3 exons. Lineage: Eukaryota; Metazoa; Chordata; Mammalia; Perissodactyla; Equidae. The record is from RefSeq and is a predicted model, not a curated record.